RNAcentral lists this ribosomal RNA (817 nucleotides) under Pseudarthrobacter polychromogenes. RNAcentral's name for it is "bacterial SSU rRNA". It matches the Rfam family "Bacterial small subunit ribosomal RNA", at positions 82 to 910 of the family's 1533-position model. The record is from RNAcentral. Lineage: Bacteria; Bacillati; Actinomycetota; Actinomycetes; Micrococcales; Micrococcaceae.
UGCUGGGGGAUUAGUGGCGAACGGGUGAGUAACACGUGAGUAACCUGCCCUUGACUCUGGGAUAAGCCUGGGAAACUGGGUCUAAUACCGGAUACGACCAUCUGGCGCAUGUCAUGGUGGUGGAAAGCUUUUGUGGUUUUGGAUGGACUCGCGGCCUAUCAGCUUGUUGGUGGGGUAAUGGCCUACCAAGGCGACGACGGGUAGCCGGCCUGAGAGGGUGACCGGCCACACUGGGACUGAGACACGGCCCAGACUCCUACGGGAGGCAGCAGUGGGGAAUAUUGCACAAUGGGCGCAAGCCUGAUGCAGCGACGCCGCGUGAGGGAUGACGGCCUUCGGGUUGUAAACCUCUUUCAGUAGGGAAGAAGCGAAAGUGACGGUACCUGCAGAAGAAGCGCCGGCUAACUACGUGCCAGCAGCCGCGGUAAUACGUAGGGCGCAAGCGUUAUCCGGAAUUAUUGGGCGUAAAGAGCUCGUAGGCGGUUUGUCGCGUCUGCUGUGAAAGACCGGGGCUCAACUCCGGUUCUGCAGUGGGUACGGGCAGACUAGAGUGCAGUAGGGGAGACUGGAAUUCCUGGUGUAGCGGUGAAAUGCGCAGAUAUCAGGAGGAACACCGAUGGCGAAGGCAGGUCUCUGGGCUGUAACUGACGCUGAGGAGCGAAAGCAUGGGGAGCGAACAGGAUUAGAUACCCUGGUAGUCCAUGCCGUAAACGUUGGGCACUAGGUGUGGGGGACAUUCCACGUUUUCCGCGCCGUAGCUAACGCAUUAAGUGCCCCGCCUGGGGAGUACGGCCGCAAGGCUAAAACUCAAAGGAAU